GCGGGAGAGGCCGUCGGUAUUCUCGGGGUAGGGGUGAAAUCCUAUAAUCCCGGGAGGACCACCAGUGGCGAAGGCUGUCGGCUAGAACGCGCCCGACGGUGAGGGAUGAAAGCUGGGGGAGCGAACCGGAUUAGAUACCCGGGUAGUCCCAGCUGUAAACGAUGCAGGCUAGGUGUUAGGGCGGCUACGUGCCGCUCUAGUGCCGCAGGGAAGCUGUUAAGCCUGCCGCCUGGGGAGUACGGCCGCAAGGCUGAAACUUAAAGGAAUUGGCGGGGGAGCACCACAAGGGGUGAAGCUUGCGGUUUAAUUGGAGUCAACGCCGGAAAUCUCACCGGGGGCGACAGCAGAAUGAAAGCCAGAUUAAAGGUCUUGCCAGACGAGCUGAGAGGAGGUGCAUGGCCGUCGCCAGUUCGUGCCGUGAGGUGUCCUGUUAAGUCAGGCAACGAUCGAGACCCGCAUCCCCCGUUGCUACCAGCCUUGAGUUGGGCACACUGGGGAGACCGCCGCCGAUAAGGCGGAGGAAGGAGCGGGCCACGGCA
RNAcentral lists this ribosomal RNA (539 nucleotides) under uncultured crenarchaeote. Its description in RNAcentral is "bacterial SSU rRNA". It matches the Rfam family "Archaeal small subunit ribosomal RNA", at positions 599 to 1143 of the family's 1478-position model. Lineage: Archaea; Thermoproteati; Thermoproteota. The record is from RNAcentral.